This 28-nucleotide non-coding RNA is filed under the name Rattus norvegicus (Norway rat). The record is from RNAcentral. Lineage: Eukaryota; Metazoa; Chordata; Mammalia; Rodentia; Muridae.
UUCUCUGCUAAACUGAGAGCUCUUUGGA